GUGAUUCUAUUAUUAAUGAAUGGGGUUACAACUUAUAUAUAUACAUAAUAGGGAAGACAAAUCCCAAUUGGACUAGGAAACCCUAAAGCCCAAAGCCCACUAAGACUAACAUAAACCGUCAUUGGGCGAGUCUUCUAGAAGCUAGACAUGGGCCUUCUAGAACAUGGACAUGGGCCUUCUAGAACAUGGACAUGGGCCACGGUUAUGGAGUCCAUCCGUUAUGUGGUUUACAACACUCCCCCUUGGAUGACAUAACCGUGUAGAUGCCAAAGGAUCUCAGUAAUACGCUUGGGGAUGCUGCCUCAUUAAAACCUUACCAGGAAAACCCAUUGGGACAAAACCACGGUGAAGGAAAAAGAGUACAGCACGUAUUACUCCCCCUUUUUUGGUCAUCUCUGAAAGUCCUUAAGUCUCCGCAUUCCAAUUUGAUGCGUGAGCUUCCUCAAUGUUGACAUUGGUAAUGCCUUGGUGAAGAGGUCGGCUGAGUUGUCACUUGACCAAACUUGUAUCACUCGAACUUCUCCAUCCCUUUGCAAGUCAUGUGCUUUGUCCGAUCUCCCUUGAUGUAGCCGUCCUUGAGCUGAGCGAUACAGGCUGUGUUGUCUCCUCAUAUGAUGGUCUUUG
RNAcentral lists this long non-coding RNA (624 nucleotides) under Arabidopsis lyrata. RNAcentral's name for it is "long non-coding RNA (ALYR_LNC002456)". Lineage: Eukaryota; Viridiplantae; Streptophyta; Magnoliopsida; Brassicales; Brassicaceae. The record is from RNAcentral.